UCCCCGAUAGCUCAGUUGGCAGAGCAAAUGACUGUUAAUCAUUGGGUCCCUGGUUCGAGCCCAGGUCGGGGAGCCA
Molecule: transfer RNA, 76 nt
Filed under: Gammaproteobacteria bacterium
Lineage: Bacteria; Pseudomonadati; Pseudomonadota; Gammaproteobacteria
Description: tRNA-Asn
Rfam family: tRNA
About the family: Transfer RNA (tRNA) molecules are approximately 80 nucleotides in length. Their secondary structure includes four short double-helical elements and three loops (D, anti-codon, and T loops).
Source: RNAcentral